AAAACUUGUGUUUCAAGAACAGGAAACAUAGGCACCCAAUGCCACCCGCACUGUGGUAAAUACCAAGGGAAGUGCAAUAAAGCAACAGGUCGGUGUGAGUGUUGUCGUGGAUGGACUGGACCUCAUGGUGUUUACGAUUACACACAGGGAAGAUAUCUUGCUGAUUUCUGCAAUAAGGAGUGUCCUUUCUUAGGAGUUAGAAUUCCAAAUCCAACUUGCAAAAAAAUUCCUAAUGAUAAUGUACCGGCAUGCAAUCCCAAAUGCGUUAAAACUGAUGGCAAAUGUUUGAAAAACGGUCGAUGUCUGUGUUGCCUGGGAUGGACUGGUCCCCAUGCGCAGUUUAUUCACUCAGGACACUAUAAAGGAAAGAUUGUUGCAGAUUAUUGUAAUGUGUAUUGUCCAUACACUUUGCACAGACAUAACAGUUUGUGCGUUGUACCCGAUUACAUCCACAGAAAAACAACUGGAAGUGGUGUUAAAAUAACAAAGUAACGAGAAAAAAAGAAAAGAAUGUAUUUUAAAUAUCUUAAUAUUGUAUUAAAGUCAGUUUUAGUGAUAAAUAUCUAUUUAUCGAUAUUAUUCUGGUGUUUGUACUUUUCUUUCACGUGUCCAUCUUUUUUUAAAUUGUGGUUAAUGUCUUCUACAAUCAGUUUUGUAGUGUAUAAAUGAACCGACGACAUUUGAAACAGUUUAAUAUUUUUUCUAGUGUGCCUUGCUAAAAUCAUUUUAGCCAUGCUAACUGUCCACAUUAUUUUCACUGCUAUAUAACGUCGUAACAUUCAUUACUGACUUGCAAGCUACAAAAUCUUGAGACAAUGCUAAUUUCUCAACUAUUUUAAAACGUCAGCAGGAAGCAUCAGCGAAUUC
Molecule: long non-coding RNA, 867 nt
Organism: Hydractinia symbiolongicarpus
Lineage: Eukaryota; Metazoa; Cnidaria; Hydrozoa; Anthoathecata; Hydractiniidae
Exons: 3
Source: RefSeq, a predicted model, not a curated record